Nannospalax galili (Upper Galilee mountains blind mole rat) is the source of this 1098-nucleotide long non-coding RNA. RefSeq lists it as uncharacterized. Lineage: Eukaryota; Metazoa; Chordata; Mammalia; Rodentia; Spalacidae. The record is from RefSeq and is a predicted model, not a curated record. The transcript has 3 exons.
ACCGCAGGGUGUCAGGGGGCGCGCGGCUCAGUGUCGGUGCGUUUACAGGCGCUCCUGUGCAUGUGAGAGCGCCGGAGAGACGGACAGGCGGUGCGCUCUGGCCCUCGGCGCUCACGGAUCACGCACGGGCUCUGUAUGCAUUGUCAGGAGCCUGUGAGAGGUCCGAGGCAAGGUGGAGAACAAGGCAGGUCCCCAUUUACUGGUGCACCCACGCCCCUCCAUUACCCGAGAAUUAAAGUUGAUGUCGGUCAAUGGGGUUCUAGAAAGCCAGCUGCAAGGCUGUUCGUCCUCGGGACCCUGGAACAGAGAUGGGUAGACUGUCUGCGACCACCGGGAAGAUCCAGACCCUCUUGCCUGGUCCUGCCAGGCCCUGCCCUCACUCUCCCCAGAAGCGAUUCUGGGCGGGGCCAAAUUGUUUCAAAGUGCCCGCCACCACUUGGAAGGUCCACUGCCUAACGCAAGAGCCAAAAUAAAUGGAGGAAGUGGCCAGGUCGGAGAAAGAAGCCAGUGACAAUGUCCACCCAGAAUGAAGCGAAUCCUGGCGUCCGUGGGUUUUUCAAGACCCUGGGCAGCUGGCUGAGGCAAGAAAAGUUCCUGGGCUACCGGCCCAGGUGGGCGCUGUGCAGGCGCUGGGAGGGAGCGGGCCAUCUGCGGGUGCUCAGCGCCCCUGCCGGAGAUCGCGGGGAGCUGCGGCUGAACCAAUGCUUGAGAGGGAGAAGAAAAAGGUUUUGCUCUGCUGAUGGACUCUGAGCAGAGGUGCCGCACCAUAUGAGGGCUCCUCUCUCAGCCUGCUUCUGGACCCACGUCUCCAGGAUCUGGACCACAGGGGAUGCGCAAUCCAGUUACUGCAGCUCUUGAGCUCCACCCGCAAGUGACAGCAACCCCAAAACCUCCAAGAACGGAUCCCUUUCCCACCUGAAGGAGCAUCUGCAUCUACCCCUAUGAUCUUUCAGGUGGACCCAGCAACUAAACUAUUUAGAGAGAAGGUUAUACAGAAGAGUCAUGAGUGGCUUGGAGCAGCCCAUGAGAAGCACAGCCUAUGGAAAACACAGCCUUUGUGCCAACAUGGUGAUGAACCUCAAAGCAAGGACAUUGACC